Molecule: ribosomal RNA, 253 nt
Filed under: uncultured bacterium
Lineage: Bacteria
Description: partial 16S ribosomal RNA
Rfam family: Bacterial small subunit ribosomal RNA
Source: RNAcentral
UACGAAGGGGGCUAGCGUUGCUCGGAAUCACUGGGCGUAAAGCGCACGUAGGCGGAUUGCUAAGUCAGGGGUGAAAUCCUGGAGCUCAACUCCAGAACUGCCUUUGAUACUGGCGAUCUCGAGUCCGGGAGAGGUGAGUGGAACUGCGAGUGUAGAGGUGAAAUUCGUAGAUAUUCGCAAGAACACCAGUGGCGAAGGCGGCAUCCUGGACUGGUCCUGACACUCAGGAGCGAAAGCGUGGGGAGCGAUCCGG